GUUGGAGAAGUGCGGAUUGUAGUGCAGGAAGACGAAGCCGCGCGCCUGGUCGAUGAUGUGGAACAGCGGGUUCCAGUCGAACAUCGCGACCAUGUAGGCGGGCAGGGUGUUGGCGAGGAACAUCUUGCCGCUCGCGAUCAUGUUGGCGCGG
RNAcentral lists this non-coding RNA (151 nucleotides) under Oceanicola granulosus HTCC2516. Its description in RNAcentral is "Ruegeria cis2 sRNA". It matches the Rfam family "Ruegeria cis2 sRNA". From Rfam's summary of the family: Cis-encoded. The record is from Rfam by way of RNAcentral. Lineage: Bacteria; Pseudomonadati; Pseudomonadota; Alphaproteobacteria; Rhodobacterales; Roseobacteraceae.